GCUCAGAAUCAACGCUGGCGGCGUGCCUAACACAUGCAAGUCGAACGAGAAAGUGGAGCAAUCCAUGAGUACAGUGGCGCACGGGUGAGUAACACGUGACUAACCUACCCUUGAGUGGGGGAUAACUGAGGGAAACCUUAGCUAAUACCGCAUAAUACCUACGGGUCAAAGGAGCAAUUCGCUUUAGGAGGGGGUCGCGGCCGAUUAGUUAGUUGGCGGGGUAAUGGCCCACCAAGACGAUGAUCGGUAUCCGGCCUGAGAGGGCGCACGGACACACUGGAACUGAAACACGGUCCAGACUCCUACGGGAGGCAGCAGUGGGGAAUUUUGCGCAAUGGGGGAAACCCUGACGCAGCAACGCCGCGUGGAGGAUGAAGUCCUUCGGGACGUAAACUCCUUUCGAUCGGGACGAUUAUGACGGUACCGGAAGAAGAAGCCCCGGCUAACUUCGUGCCAGCAGCCGCGGUAAUACGAGGGGGGCGAGCGUUGUUCGGAAUUAUUGGGCGUAAAGGGUGCGUAGGCGGUUUGGUAAGUCUUGUGUGAAAUCUCCAGGCUCAACUUGGAGUCUGCACGAGAAACUGCCGGGCUUGAGUGUGGGAGAGGUGAGUGGAAUUCCUGGUGUAGCGGUGAAAUGCGUAGAUAUCAGGAGGAACACCUGUGGCGAAAGCGGCUCACUGGACCACAACUGACGCUGAUGCACGAAAGCUAGGGGAGCAAACAGGAUUAGAUACCCUGGUAGUCCUAGCCCUAAACGAUGACUGCUUGGUGUGACGGGUACCCAAUCCCGCCGUGCCGUAGCUAACGCGUUAAGCAGUCCGCCUGGGGAGUACGGUCGCAAGGCUGAAACUCAAAG
RNAcentral lists this ribosomal RNA (853 nucleotides) under uncultured bacterium. RNAcentral describes it as "bacterial SSU rRNA". It matches the Rfam family "Bacterial small subunit ribosomal RNA", at positions 22 to 906 of the family's 1533-position model. The record is from RNAcentral.